GAGGCUUUGUAAUGUGAUACACACCCCUCCGCUGGGCACCACAAAACUAAGACCCAACCACUCCUAUCACCUGCCAUACCUCCUUGUAAGCCACUUGUCCCCUCGGUCUGCAUGUAUUCACCGCUAUGACGCUGCUGCUGUAAAAUUUCACAUAAAUGGAAUCAUAUGUUCCAGGUGACGCCAGUUCCCGUUCCAGUUCUGACACCUUCUUCCGGCCUCCU
Long non-coding RNA from Microtus oregoni (creeping vole), 221 nucleotides. RefSeq lists it as uncharacterized. Lineage: Eukaryota; Metazoa; Chordata; Mammalia; Rodentia; Cricetidae. The record is from RefSeq and is a predicted model, not a curated record. The transcript has 3 exons.